This 231-nucleotide long non-coding RNA is filed under the name Mytilus galloprovincialis (Mediterranean mussel). Lineage: Eukaryota; Metazoa; Mollusca; Bivalvia; Mytilida; Mytilidae. The record is from RNAcentral.
UGCCCCUGGUGACAGUUUGUUUGGGUAAUUGCUUUAUCGAAAACAGAAAGUCUAUUAAAUAUUUUAAUGAUCAGGCGUGUUUGAGCUGGCUUUUCUGUCUUUAAAACGUAUAAUAUUUGAUACAUAAUCUCACUUCAGAUUCUAUAAUUUCAUAUCAUAUAAGUUAUCUAAAGCUUGAUAAAAAGACAAGAUAAUGACCAGCCUUAGCGUUUUUGUUUACGUCCGAUUUGU